This 2263-nucleotide long non-coding RNA is filed under the name Brassica napus (rape). RNAcentral describes it as "long non-coding RNA (BNAP_LNC017380)". Lineage: Eukaryota; Viridiplantae; Streptophyta; Magnoliopsida; Brassicales; Brassicaceae. The record is from RNAcentral.
UCGUGAUGGGCUUUGUUAUUGUCACAUUGUGUUAUGGUUUUGAGAUGUUGAUUACGCUAACCCUAAUACGGAUUCACAAAAAAAAAAGCGAAAUCCUUCUUCUUCUUCGAUGCGGCGGUGAUGCGGGGACUCUCUCUCUCUCUCUCUCUCUCUCUCUCUCUCCGAGUUUUGAUAUCGAUUUGUUUUUGUCUUGGUAAAGAAAGUUGGAGGAGGCAGAGAAGCUUGAUGGAGGAGGACGGAGAAGAAGCUUCACGGGGUGGAGGAAGCUGGACGAACAGACGACGGAAGAGGCAGGAUGAAAAGGCGGAGGUUUAGUUUUGUAUUUUUUUGUGGAGAGUUCAACAAGAAAACGGCGGCCUCUAGAUUAGGUUUAGUUUUGUAUUUUUUUUUUAAUUUUGUUUAAUGGUGUAAACCAAUUUGAAAUUACAAACCGGUUCAAAUAUUUUGUAAACCUGUUUUAACAUUUACAUUCUAUGUUUAUCAAUAUUUAUUUGUACAUUUCAAUUUCGUAAUGUAAUACCACAAUUUCGUAAUGUACGUCUAUUUUUCAACUGUCAUUAUGCUCAAUGUGUCUGGAGGUCUUCUGGUAUAUCAAAUUUGAUCAUCAAUAGUAGAACAUCAACACUGGAAGAGAAAGUAGCUGUUUGUCAACAAAUUUCUUCAUCAUCAAGGUUAACUCAUUUCCAAGAUCUACCUUUGUGGAUUUUAUGGCGGCUUUGGAAAAGCAGCAAUAUAUUGAUAUUUCAACAGAGAGGUCAAAGUUGGAUCUCUACAUUACAUUAUGCUCGGUUGGAUGCUCAAGAAUGGAGGGAUGCUGGAAAUUCUCAUGAAGCUCCAAAUUCACAUACAACUUCAUUACAGGUUCGAAGAAGACAUAGAUGGCAGAAACCACAAAGUGAUUGGUUAAAGUGUAAUGUUGAUGGUUCUUUUAUUGAUGAGAACUCUACAAGUAAAGCCGGUUGGGUCAUUCGUGAUGAUAAAGGUUCGUAUAAAGGAUCAGUACAAGCUAAAGGUAUGAAGGUUAGUUCACCAUUGGAGAGUGAACUGCAAGCAAUCUUAAUGUCAAUGCAAUUCUGUUGGAGUAGAGGCUAUCGAAGAGUUAUAAUAGAAGGGGAUUGUCAAAAAGCUGUUAAUUUACUCAACAACAAGCAGCGACAUUUUGGAUUAUAUAAUUGGAUAAGGGAGAUUAAAUGGUGGGAAUCACGAUUUGAAGAUAUUUCUUAUCAGUGGGUUGAACUUGAAGCAAACCAAGUUGCAGACAAAUUGGCAAAACAUGGAGAUUCGGAAUAUAAUAGUUUCCAAUUUCAUUUUUUUGUACCAUCGUUUCUUUCAAAUCUUCUCCAUGAAGAUUAUGUAAACUCUAAUCAUUUCUAAUAAAAUAAUGACGUUAAAAAAAAAAAAAAAAAAAAAAAUUUUUGAAGAGAGACAACUUUCUAUUGGUUGGUGAACCCUAGGGAGUGAACCCAAGAAAAAGUCUUAUAUAAAAGAGUGUUUUACUCCCUCCUAAGCUGUCUACAUAGGAUUCCAGCUAGGAGACUCACUUCAUACAAUCGCGCCACGUGUCCACACGCUUCACUCCGCAUCGUUUCAUUUAAACGAAUUUGUCUUGGGCUUUAUUUUGUAAUCGGGAAGAAUUCGUGAUGGGCUUUGUUAUUGUCACAUUGUGUUAUGGUUUUGAGAUGUUGAUUACGCUAACCCUAAUACGGAUUCACAAAAAAAAAAGCGAAAUCCUUCUUCUUCUUCGAUGCGGCGGUGAUGCGGGGACUCUCUCUCUCUCUCUCUCUCUCUCUCUCUCUCCGAGUUUUGAUAUCGAUUUGUUUUUGUCUUGGUAAAGAAAGUUGGAGGAGGCAGAGAAGCUUGAUGGAGGAGGACGGAGAAGAAGCUUCACGGGGUGGAGGAAGCUGGACGAACAGACGACGGAAGAGGCAGGAUGAAAAGGCGGAGGUUUAGUUUUGUAUUUUUUUGUGGAGAGUUCAACAAGAAAACGGCGGCCUCUAGAUUAGGUUUAGUUUUGUAUUUUUUUUUUAAUUUUGUUUAAUGGUGUAAACCAAUUUGAAAUUACAAACCGGUUCAAAUAUUUUGUAAACCUGUUUUAACAUUUACAUUCUAUGUUUAUCAAUAUUUAUUUGUACAUUUCAAUUUCGUAAUGUAAUACCACAAUUUCGUAAUGUACGUCUAUUUUUCAACUGUCAUUAUGCUCAAUGUGUCUGGAGGUCUUCUGGUAUAUCAAAUUUGAUCAUCAAUAGUAGAACAUCAACACUGG